This 452-nucleotide ribosomal RNA is filed under the name uncultured bacterium. RNAcentral describes it as "bacterial SSU rRNA". It matches the Rfam family "Bacterial small subunit ribosomal RNA", at positions 340 to 786 of the family's 1533-position model. The record is from RNAcentral.
UACGGAAGGCAGCAGUGGGGAAUAUUGCACAAUGGGCGCAAGCCUGAUGCAGCCAUGCCGCGUGUAUGAAGAAGGCCUUCGGGUUGUAAAGUACUUUCAGUCGUGAGGAAGGUGUUAAGGUUAAUAACCUUAGCAAUUGACGUUAGCGACAGAAGAAGCACCGGCUAACUCCGUGCCAGCAGCCGCGGUAAUACGGAGGGUGCGAGCGUUAAUCGGAAUUACUGGGCGUAAAGGGCACGCAGGCGGUUAAUUAAGUUGGAUGUGAAAUCCCCGGGCUUAACCUGGGAAUGGCAUUCAAGACUGGUUAGCUAGAGUCUUGUAGAGGGGGUAGAAUUCCAUGUGUAGCGGUGAAAUGCGUAGAGAUGUGGAGGAAUACCGGUGGCGAGGCGGCCCCUGGACAAAGACUGACGCUCAUGUGCGAAAGCGUGGGGAGCAAACAGGGAUUAGAUACC